RNAcentral lists this transfer RNA (553 nucleotides) under uncultured Prochlorococcus sp. RNAcentral's name for it is "partial 16S-23S ribosomal RNA intergenic spacer". The stretch from base 210 to 282 matches the Rfam family "tRNA". Lineage: Bacteria; Bacillati; Cyanobacteriota; Cyanophyceae; Synechococcales; Prochlorococcaceae. The record is from RNAcentral.
CAGGGAGACAACAAAAUGUAAAUAUUAAUUUUGUCACCUUAGGUCGAUCGGUAUCUCAGAUUCUUAAUUUUUAAGAAUUUCAGUUUCUAAGUUUUUUCUAGGUCACACCCAUCACUUUUUCCUGGGCCAUUAGCUCAGGUGGUUAGAGCGCACCCCUGAUAAGGGUGAGGUCCCUGGUUCAAGUCCAGGAUGGCCCAUAUCUCUAUGUUGGGGGUAUAGCUCAGUUGGUAGAGCGCCUGCUUUGCAAGCAGGAUGUCAGCGGUUCGAGUCCGCUUACCUCCACUGAAUACCACCUCUUACAUAUUUUGAAAGGGGGAAAUUGUUUUGAGUUGUGUUCUAUUUUGCUCUGAGCGAAUCUAGCUUCCUAUUUUUAUUUAAUAAAUAAGAUGCUGGACUCAUUGAAUUAUUAUUCAUUGUUUUCAGAGAACCUUGACAACUGCAUAGAUUUUUUUGAAGACAAUAAGCAUCUUUAAUGAUGCAGAUUUAUUAUUUGUGCGAAUGCAUUAAAUAACAAUUCUAUUAAGCUGAUGCUUCAAUCAUUAUUGAAGUUAUU